GAGAGAGAGAGAGAGAGAGAGCCUCGAUAGAUCGCCAGUACCUCUGAUGAAAGUUAAAUCCUCAUUUCUGCUCCAACCUCUUCUGCUUCUCGACACCGGUAACCCUUUCGCAGUCUCUUGGCCACCAACAUAUUUUUCACAUCAACAAGAAAGGAUAUACCAUGCUAUAGCCAUAGCAAACUCUAGUUUCACCGCAGGCUCCUCACUGGCAUCCGAUGAACGUGGAAUGGUGAAACUGUAGGACACGAUGACAACGUCCGCUUUGGCUUCACUUUAAUUGCAGUACACCGAGGAGAGAAUGGGUAACUAUGACAGUGAUAAUGUUGAUCCAAGAUACACCAAUGCUCAUCAUUUCCUUGUGUUAAUUUCCAUAACCCUACAAAGAUUCUGCAAUUUAGGGGUUGGAUUUUGGAGAGAUCUGAUGUCCGGAGGAACUUUCAUUUUACAGAUAUAUAGAGUUGAGAUGUGCGUACGUAUACAUGGCAAUGAGUUUGGGAGAAACCUCAAACGAGAGGACUCUUUUCGCUUUACCACGCCAUGACCGCAGGGGAACAACCUACUUUCCCAUACGUUGCUGGAGAAGAUACUGUGUUGUGAGCCACUACACAUAUAUAGGACAACGAGGGUUCCCAUGAUCAUGAGGAGUCACGUACUAUUCUACAGAAGAGCAGUAUGGCCUGCAGGGAUUGAUAGGAUCCAAGCUUUGUGUCUUCGGAUGAUAUAUAGUACCCGAACUCAGUCCCAUAUGCAUACAUACCAUGCUAACUUUCUCCUCCGCACAAGGGGAGCACGAUGCGCUCGCAUGCUGCACCCACUGUUACCGUGUAACUCGUCGGGCUGAUGAACACGCAGCCACCGUAGAGAUGAAAUCUAGAAAUGGCAACAAUAAUGGAUCCACCGACUGUGCCGCCCACCAUAUAUGUGCAGCAAGAACAGCCUGUUGCAAGGUCCCAUGACUGCGACCCAUCCCCCGCAGAGUUAAUACCUUUCGUGCACUCACUACUGCUGCUAUUUGAUUAAGCUCGGUGCUACUUUACUCUGAUGGAAGAAGAGGAACUGCGAGACAGGUUGUCGUGGGGUAGGGUUUGGUGGUGCAUGGAGCAAUGUGAGACUGAGCUCGGAGAUGGAAUCAAUCUUCUGGUACCACCGGUGAAUCAGCCCCAGAGGCAUCUUUGCGUUGGCCGGCUCCACCGUCACAUGAUGGCUUGUCGAUCCAUCGUUGUAGUCUUUCGGCACGCCUACUGUUGGCUCAUAUGUUCCCGUAUGGCCUCGUGGCUCCACGAUAAGGCUGGCUUGUAGUUACUCUUCCUUCAGCUGGCGCGCGGAACAACUCCUUCGAACGCGAUUCCUGGAUUUUGCCGGUGGUGGCGGUGAGAGGACUGUCUCUUCUUCGUCGUCGUCACGCAAUGCAAAGCGCCAUUCUUGCUACGGGUGGGACGGGGACUCGCAACGAGGAGUCGCCAUCCAUCGUGCACUGUUCUUACUACGCGUAAAACUAGCUGUAGAAUGAACCCAAGGUCUGGGAGUAAAUCGAGAUGGUGUUUCGACUCAAAAGCAUUAAUCGCCAGAGAACACCAACGACCAUAAUUGUAGCUUGUAGAUAAGGUCUAUUAUGAUCACCUUGGCCUGGCUCUGUAGUCCGGAAUAUUGUUGUAAUGAUGAGAAGAUCCGUACUACGUUUCUGUAAA
Non-coding RNA from Musa acuminata subsp. malaccensis (wild Malaysian banana), 1688 nucleotides. The record is from RefSeq and is a predicted model, not a curated record. Lineage: Eukaryota; Viridiplantae; Streptophyta; Magnoliopsida; Zingiberales; Musaceae.